GACGGAGGGUGCAAGCGUUGUUCGGAUUGACUGGGCGUAAAGGGCGUGUAGGCGGUCGGCCAAGUCUGAUGUGAAAGCCCGAGGCUCAGCCUCGGAAGUGCGUCGGAAACUAGUCGGCUGGAGCGCGAUAGAGGAGGGUGGAAUUCCUGGUGUAGCGGUGAAAUGCGUAGAUAUCAGGAAGAACACCCGUGGCUAAGGCGGCUCUCUAGUACGGUACUGACGCUGAGACGCGAAAGCGUGGGGAGCGAACAGG
This 253-nucleotide ribosomal RNA is filed under the name uncultured bacterium. RNAcentral describes it as "partial 16S ribosomal RNA". It matches the Rfam family "Bacterial small subunit ribosomal RNA", at positions 524 to 776 of the family's 1533-position model. The record is from RNAcentral.